Molecule: transfer RNA, 67 nt
Filed under: Arboridia sp. 1 NZ-2023a
Lineage: Eukaryota; Metazoa; Arthropoda; Insecta; Hemiptera; Cicadellidae
Description: tRNA-Ser
Source: RNAcentral
AAGAAGAUAAGACAUAAGAAUAGCUUCUAACUAAUUCUUAAAGCGGUUUAAUUCCGUUUACUUCUUA